GAGAAGUAUCUGCAGUUUCAGCAUUUUUGGAUAUCAAAAGGAACUCUAUCCCCCCCUUGUGAGAUAAAUAUGUACAUGAAAACCCCUCUAUAGUUGAUAAUUUAAGAGUAUGAGAAAACCUUUUCUCACGCUGUUGUUACUGAAAUGAUUUCACAAGUUAAAACCCCUACUUCUACGUGAAUUUCCAUAACAUUAACUCUCCGAGCUGCAAUCAUUCUGGAGCUGAUCUUAUAUCUACACAACCUUAUUCACAUUUUGAUUAAGGAGUGUUGCAAAAUCACCAGGCUGGACGACUACAGGAGGAUGCAGUGAGAAAACAUACGAGACAGGCCUCGACUGCACCAUUGGCUUUCUGGCUCUAACCUCAUCGAAUAAUUCUCCAAGGUUCUGUUCAUCAAAUAGAAAUGAUUCAUUGAGAAAAAAGCAGCACUCCCUCGCCAGCUUUUCCACCUGUAGGUGUGAGAAACGUAUGUUAUUCAUGGUGAUAAUUACUGUAGCUUCAUAUAAGGCAUCUCCAAGUAUCCGGAUGGCAAAAUACUCAAAAAAGGUCUGCACCAUGCUCCUAUCCCCUUCUUUAUGUUCUGCUUCAAAUUUUGGGAACCAUAGGACACAUUUAACUUCAUCCCAUGGAACUGAACUCCCUGCAGUUUUGGAUAAUAUCGUGUUGUAUGGAUGUGAAUGGCCCCAGAGAAUUCUGACUCCAGUUGGUAACUGAUCAAGUGUGGAUUCAUCUCGAAGGGAUGUUGUGGAAAUU
RNAcentral lists this unclassified non-coding RNA (754 nucleotides) under Hevea brasiliensis (rubber tree). The record is from RNAcentral. Lineage: Eukaryota; Viridiplantae; Streptophyta; Magnoliopsida; Malpighiales; Euphorbiaceae.